UUUUGCUUUGCUCAUGAAGGUCGUGGCCUGCUUCGCGAAGGUUCUCUCUGCGACUGGAAGGUUUCUCUGCUCAAAAGUUUGCUCUGCUCACGAAGGUCACAGCCUGCUCCGCGAAGGUCUCUCUGCGACUGGAAGGUUUCUUUGCUCAAAAGGUAUGUUUGAGAGCUGAAGGUCAUGGGACGCGGGUCGCGGGUUGCAUCUCUCUCGUGAAGUUCGCGGGUUGCAUCUCUCUCACAAAGUUUGUGGGUUGCCCUAUUCACGAUGGUCUCAGAGCUCACGAGAUCUAAAUUGAGAAACAGGGUUGGACUGCAGAGAAUUAGAUCAUCUGGAAUGGUGCUUUCAGCUUUCCAUCUUCUUUUCAGCUUACCUGCAUGUGAGCAAGUGAAACAUGAUUGUACCUUUUCUUGUAAGUUCUUCUUAGAGACAUGGUUACAGGAAAAAACCAGUUUGUAGGUUCUUCAUGGAGCAAGUGAAACAUGAUUGUACCCAUUCAUUUAACUGAAAAGUAGGUCCAGCCUCAAAAUUAAUUCAUAAUUGGAGAAGUUAAUCUGAC
This is a long non-coding RNA of Macadamia integrifolia, 553 nucleotides long. RefSeq lists it as uncharacterized. The transcript has 3 exons. The record is from RefSeq and is a predicted model, not a curated record. Lineage: Eukaryota; Viridiplantae; Streptophyta; Magnoliopsida; Proteales; Proteaceae.